This 512-nucleotide ribosomal RNA is filed under the name uncultured bacterium. RNAcentral's name for it is "bacterial SSU rRNA". It matches the Rfam family "Bacterial small subunit ribosomal RNA", at positions 29 to 507 of the family's 1533-position model. The record is from RNAcentral.
ACGAACGCUGGCGGCGUGCUUAACACAUGCAAGUCGAACGAGAGGACAAGAGAAGCUUGCUUCUUUUGGAAUCGAGUGGCAAACGGGUGAGUAACACGUAAACAACCUGCCUUCAGGAUGGGGACAACAGACGGAAACGACUGCUAAUACCGAAUACGCUUGGAAGACCGCAUGAUUUUCCAAGGAAAGGGUGGCCUCUACCUGUAAGCUAUCGCCUGAAGAGGGGUUUGCGUCUGAUUAGCUGGUUGGAGGGGUAACGGCCCACCAAGGCGACGAUCAGUAGCCGGUCUGAGAGGAUGAACGGCCACACUGGAACUGAGACACGGUCCAGACUCCUACGGGAGGCAGCAGUGGGGAAUCUUCCGCAAUGGGCGAAAGCCUGACGGAGCAACGCCGCGUGAGUGAUGACGGCCUUCGGGUUGUAAAACUCUGUGAUCCGGGACGAAAAGGCAGAGUGCGAAGAACAAACUGCAUUGACGGUACCGGAAAAGCAAGCCACGGCUAACUACGUG